RNAcentral lists this unclassified non-coding RNA (240 nucleotides) under soil metagenome. RNAcentral describes it as "partial contains 5.8S ribosomal RNA, internal transcribed spacer 2, and large subunit ribosomal RNA". The record is from RNAcentral.
AACGCACGAGACCUGCGGACCUGCGGAGGGAUCAUUACAAAAGUUAUACACUUGGGGAACGGACUCGUCUUUCGGGACUUGAGGCCUGACUCCAUUUGUAACACAACUUCAACCACUUGUGAACAUGUAAUAAUAUCUCACCAAUUGACUGUUAACGAAGUCUGAUUCAAAUUGUAUUGGUGUUAAUAGACACUAGUAAAAUAUGAAACAACUUUCAACAAUGGAUCUCUAGAUCGGAAG